CCUACGGGAGGCAGCAGUGGGGGAUAUUGCACAAUGGGGGAAACCCUGAUGCAGCGACGCCGCGUGUGGGAAGACGGUCCUCUGGAUUGUAAACCACUGUCCCCAGGGACGAAGAUGACGGUACCUGGGGAGGAAGCUCCGGCUAACUACGUGCCAGCAGCCGCGGUAAUACGUAGGGAGCGAGCGUUGUCCGGAAUUACUGGGUGUAAAGGGAGCGUAGGCGGGACUGCAAGUUGGGUGUCAAAUCUACCGGCUCAACCGGUAGCCGCAAUCAAAACUGCAGUUCUUGAGUGAAGUAGAGGCAGGCGGAAUGCCUAGUGUAGCGGUGAAAGGCGUAGAUAUUAGGAGGAACACCAGUGGCGAAGGCGGCCUGCUGGGCUUUUACUGACGCUGAGGCUCGAAAGUGUGGGGAGCAAACAGGAUUAGAUACCCGGGUAGUC
This 440-nucleotide ribosomal RNA is filed under the name uncultured bacterium. RNAcentral describes it as "partial 16S ribosomal RNA". It matches the Rfam family "Bacterial small subunit ribosomal RNA", at positions 338 to 795 of the family's 1533-position model. The record is from RNAcentral.